CACUAUUCUAAGGAAUUUUAUUAUGUUAACAAUUAUAUUACGCAGUAAAUAAAACCAUAAUAAAAUCAUAUAUUUAUUCAAUCAAAUAUAACAUCAAAACGUUAAGCAAUUAUAUCAAAUAAUUGGCCUCUAGGGCAUAAACUCUAACACGUUUGAGUGGGAACCGAAAUAGUUUGGCGCUGUCAGCGUAGUCAACUACCAGCAGGGUAGGCACCGUUGUCAAACUACC
This 229-nucleotide long non-coding RNA is filed under the name Panax ginseng (ginseng). RNAcentral's name for it is "long non-coding RNA (PGIN_LNC004094)". Lineage: Eukaryota; Viridiplantae; Streptophyta; Magnoliopsida; Apiales; Araliaceae. The record is from RNAcentral.